AGUCAGAGGCGAUGAAGGACGUGCUAAUCUGCGAUAAGCGUCGGUAAGGUGAUAUGAACCGUUAUAACCGGCGAUUUCCGAAUGGGGAAACCCAGUGUGUUUCGACACACUAUCAUUAACUGAAUCCAUAGGUUAAUGAGGCGAACCGGGGGAACUGAAACAUCUAAGUACCCCGAGGAAAAGAAAUCAACCGAGAUUCCCCCAGUAGCGGCGAGCGAACGGGGAGCAGCCCAGAGCCUGAAUCAGUAUGUGUGUUAGUGGAAGCGUCUGGAAAGGCGCGCGAUACAGGGUGACAGCCCCGUACACAAAAAUGCACAUAUUGUGAGCUCGAUGAGUAGGGCGGGACACGUGGUAUCCUGUCUGAAUAUGGGGGGACCAUCCUCCAAGGCUAAAUACUCCUGACUGACCGAUAGUGAACCAGUACCGUGAGGGAAAGGCGAAAAGAACCCCGGCGAGGGGAGUGAAAAAGAACCUGAAACCGUGUACGUACAAGCAGUGGGAGCACGCUUAGGCGUGUGACUGCGUACCUUUUGUAUAAUGGGUCAGCGACUUAUAUUCUGUAGCAAGGUUAAC
This 573-nucleotide ribosomal RNA is filed under the name Escherichia coli IS25. RNAcentral's name for it is "LSU rRNA". It matches the Rfam family "Bacterial large subunit ribosomal RNA", at positions 38 to 650 of the family's 2925-position model. Lineage: Bacteria; Pseudomonadati; Pseudomonadota; Gammaproteobacteria; Enterobacterales; Enterobacteriaceae. The record is from RNAcentral.